RNAcentral lists this transfer RNA (53 nucleotides) under Clematicissus striata subsp. argentina. RNAcentral's name for it is "Cissus striata subsp. argentina partial tRNA-Phe". The record is from RNAcentral. Lineage: Eukaryota; Viridiplantae; Streptophyta; Magnoliopsida; Vitales; Vitaceae.
UAUUUUUAAUUGACAUAACCAAAUCAUCUAGUAAAAUGAGGAUGAUGCAUCGG